AUGAACAUCAACAGCUUGGUGGGCGCAUUGCCCUGCCUAAGUACCAAUGACUACCCUUGCCAGUCAGGUUUUAACAUAAAGCUCUGUACAGUACCUAACGACAUUCUUGAGAUUGUUACACAGAUUGCAAGAGAAGAUCACUUUAUAAAGAACAACCAUCGCCCUGACUUGAUUCAUCGCCUUUCGGUUCACUAUGAAGGCCAACCUCACCAAGCUGAGAAGGAAGUAAAUGUCACUCGUUCGCAGGCUUGUUGGAAUAUUUGUGGCCACCAAGCAACAGUUGAACAGUCCAAUGCCACUCAAGAGUUUUUGGAGUCACUUCCGUCGUCAAGUCACUCGGGGAUUCUGAAAGUGCUUGACCUAGAAAACUGCGAUGAAUUGAAGGACCACCAUCUGAAAAACAUUUGCAAUUAUGUAUUUCACCUCAAGUACUUGAGCCUCCGGUAUACUGACAUUACUGAACUACCGAAGCAGCUCGACAAGCUUCAGUCCCUAGAGACCUUGGACAUUCGUGACACAAAUGUAAAAGCAUUCGCCAAAAAUUCAGUUUUUCUGCCGAAGCUAAAGCAUCUACUUGCCGGGUACUGGACUUCUGAAGAGAUUGAUGUAAAUGGUAACAACGUCCAAUCAAAGGAGAUGUUAUCCACGGUGGCAAUGCCCAAACAUAUCGGCAACAUGACAGAAUUGCAGGUGAUAUCUCAUAUUGCAGCCUCUGGCGAUGGCAGUGAACUAAAAUAUGUUGGCUACCUACUCCAGCUGGUUAAGUUGGGUGUGUUCGUCUCUGGAAGUACAACAUUAGUCUUGAGGCAUUUGUACUAUGCAACUGGAAAUCUUGGGUUUCUGCUCACUGUCAAUCCAAGUUGCAGAAACCGAAGAAGAGAAUGA
This 885-nucleotide ribosomal RNA is filed under the name Triticum aestivum (bread wheat). RNAcentral describes it as "partial small subunit ribosomal RNA". The record is from RNAcentral. Lineage: Eukaryota; Viridiplantae; Streptophyta; Magnoliopsida; Poales; Poaceae.